CCUACGGGAGGCAGCAGUGGGGAAUAUUGGACAAUGGGGGGAACCCUGAUCCAGCCAUGCCGCGUGUGUGAAGAAGGCCCUCGGGUUGUAAAGCACUUUCAGUGAGGAAGAACGCCUGGUGGUUAAUACCCAUCAGGAAAGACAUCACUCACAGAAGAAGCACCGGCUAACUCCGUGCCAGCAGCCGCGGUAAUACGGAGGGUGCGAGCGUUAAUCGGAAUUACUGGGCGUAAAGCGCGCGUAGGUGGCUUGAUAAGCCGGUUGUGAAAGCCCCGGGCUCAACCUGGGAACGGCAUCCGGAACUGUCAAGCUAGAGUGCAGGAGAGGAAGGUAGAAUUCCCGGUGUAGCGGUGAAAUGCGUAGAGAUCGGGAGGAAUACCAGUGGCGAAGGCGGCCUUCUGGACUGACACUGACACUGAGGUGCGAAAGCGUGGGUAGCAAACGGGAUUAGAUACCCCAGUAGUC
Molecule: ribosomal RNA, 465 nt
Filed under: Vreelandella stevensii
Lineage: Bacteria; Pseudomonadati; Pseudomonadota; Gammaproteobacteria; Oceanospirillales; Halomonadaceae
Description: partial 16S ribosomal RNA
Rfam family: Bacterial small subunit ribosomal RNA
Source: RNAcentral